RNAcentral lists this ribosomal RNA (430 nucleotides) under Bacteroidota bacterium. RNAcentral's name for it is "Bacteroidetes bacterium partial 16S ribosomal RNA". It matches the Rfam family "Bacterial small subunit ribosomal RNA", at positions 355 to 776 of the family's 1533-position model. The record is from RNAcentral. Lineage: Bacteria; Pseudomonadati; Bacteroidota.
UAGGGAAUCUUCGGCAAUGGGGGGAACCCUGACCGAGCAACGCCGCGUGAGUGAAGAAGGUUUUCGGAUCGUAAAGCUCUGUUGUUAAGGAAGAACGAGUGUGAGAAUGGAAAGUUCAUACUGUGACGGUACUUAACCAGAAAGGGACGGCUAACUACGUGCCAGCAGCCGCGGUAAUACGGAAGGUCCGGGCGUUAUCCGGAUUUAUUGGGUUUAAAGGGAGCGUAGGCUGUCUAUUAAGCGUGUUGUGAAAUUUACCGGCUCAACCGGUGGCUUGCAGCGCGAACUGGUCGACUUGAGUAUGCAGGAAGUAGGCGGAAUUCAUGGUGUAGCGGUGAAAUGCGUAGAUAUAUGGAGGAACACCGGUGGCGAAAGCGGCUCUCUGGUCUGUAACUGACGCUGAGGCUCGAAAGCGUGGGGAGCGAACAGG